UCUCUGACCCCGCUUCUGGUCUGAGCCCAUCAGAAUAAAUCAUCCCCUAAGGCUCCACUUAGUGAAGGGAGUUCACACAGGAGAAACUUGCCAACGAACUUCUCGAGAGAUCCCUGAAGCUUCUUGUGGCUUCUUGCCGCUCCUGUGGAUUAAGGCCGAUUGCUUUGCCUGAGAAUGGAAGAUGCUGGCAACUUUAAGAAGGGUACUUAACCUGGACAGAAGGACAGAGGACAAGAGGCAGAAGAGGAUGGGGAACAAGAAGAUGGCCACACAGAGAAGAACUGCAAAAAAGGCCAUACUGCCAGCUGCCACAGUAGCACUUUAACUCCCUGGCACUGCUGUCACCAGGAUGAACCCUGAGCCUAGAGAGGACGACAGAGUAAGAGAUAGAUGUCCCUUUUACUCCACAGUCUUUCAUUCUUGGCACCAUCACUAGUUAAGGAUCUCUAUACCAGCUACUGCAGAAAAGCUUCUCUGAUGAGGAUUAAGAGGUUAAAAGCUCCUCCUGUUUUCCCACUGAGAGCUUCACAGGCCAUUUGAGCCUAUAGCAGCAAGGACAAAACAGAAGACCCUGGAUCUGUUUCCUGCUCUCAGGAUGUUCAUGGUCUUCCUAUCAAGUGUUCCUCCUGCAAACACUGACCUCUAGAACCCA
This is a long non-coding RNA of Mastomys coucha (southern multimammate mouse), 652 nucleotides long. RefSeq lists it as uncharacterized. Lineage: Eukaryota; Metazoa; Chordata; Mammalia; Rodentia; Muridae. The record is from RefSeq and is a predicted model, not a curated record. The transcript is spliced from 6 exons.